GCCAGACUCCUACGGGAGGCAGCAGUGGGGAAUAUUGCACAAUGGGGGAAACCCUGAUGCAGCGACGCCGCGUGAGUGAAGAAGUAUUUCGGUAUGUAAAGCUCUAUCAGCAGGAACGAGACAAGACGGUACCUGACUAAGAAGCCCCGGCUAACUACGUGCCAGCAGCCGCGGUAAUACGUAGGGGGCAAGCGUUAUCCGGAAUCACUGGGUGUAAAGGGAGCGUAGACGGCUGUGCAAGCCUGAAGUGAAAGGCGGGGGCCCAACCCCUGGACUGCUUUGGGAACUGUACGGCUGGAGUGCAGGAGAGGUAAGUGGAAUUCCUAGUGUAGCGGUGAAAUGCGUAGAUAUUAGGAGGAACACCAGUGGCGAAGGCGGCUUACUGGACUGUAACUGACGUUGAGGCUCGAAAGCGUGGGGAGCAAACAGGAUUAGAUACCCUUGUAU
Molecule: ribosomal RNA, 447 nt
Filed under: uncultured bacterium
Lineage: Bacteria
Description: bacterial SSU rRNA
Rfam family: Bacterial small subunit ribosomal RNA
Source: RNAcentral